AACGAACGCUGGCGGCAGGCCUAACACAUGCAAGUCGAACGAAGUCUUCGGACUUAGUGGCGCACGGGUGAGUAACACGUGGGAAUAUACCUUACGCUGGGGGAUAACAUCGGGAAACUGAUGCUAAUACCGCAUACGCCCUUCGGGGGAAAGAUUUAUCGGCGAAAGAUUAGCCCGCGUCCGAUUAGCUAGUUGGUGAGGUAAUGGCUCACCAAGGCUCCGAUCGGUAGCUGGUCUGAGAGGAUGACCAGCCACACUGGGACUGAGACACGGCCCAGACUCCUACGGGAGGCAGCAGUGGGGAAUAUUGGACAAUGGGCGCAAGCCUGAUCCAGCCAUGCCGCGUGAGUGAUGAAGGCCUUAGGGUUGUAAAGCUCUUUCACCCACGACGAUGAUGACGGUAGUGGGAGAAGAAGCCCCGGCUAACUUCGUG
RNAcentral lists this ribosomal RNA (433 nucleotides) under uncultured bacterium. RNAcentral's name for it is "partial 16S ribosomal RNA". It matches the Rfam family "Bacterial small subunit ribosomal RNA", at positions 29 to 507 of the family's 1533-position model. The record is from RNAcentral.